UCUACGAUUUUUUCAUUGCACGUUCCGUGCACAAAAACCUAUAGUAAAUAUUGUGACGUGGCACAAUUUUGCACGUUAUUUAUAAUUGAGUUUUGUUAUAAACAAAAUAAACAUCCUUGCGCCAAUGUUGAUGGCUGCAGCAAUUACUCAAUUCUAGUCAAUUUGUUUAUUUAUAGAAUUUAUUUGUUUAUAUUAUUGUAUUCCCUUUCACGAAAACACUUCCCUUUGAAUUCGAAUUUGAGAUAUUUCCCGGCUAUCGUCUUGCAAGCAGAAAGGAUGAUCAUCACGUCUGCGCAGAUUCGACUUUCCGUUCACUCACAGCAGAAAACUACAACGUCAACCAAAAUAAAAAUCGAAUUGACUCGAUAUACCUGUCACUUUUAAAUUCAACCUACACAAAAGUCAUCUCACAAAUAACCCUUUGAGUAAAUUAGAAUUAUUUUCUACAUUUACCAGAUUUUACUGGAAUCUCAAAAAUGUUAAGAGAUUGACUAUUGAACAGGAUGGUCCCUGUCAUUUCUCUAUUUCGUAAAGAGACACCUUUUGCCCAGGCCCGAAUUCUCAUGUCACUAACCUCAACUUUUCCCCUUUUUGAUUUUGAUUAAUUUUGACUAAUUACCUUUCCCUUUACGAGUGACAAUAAGAGAAUUUUGGAGGUUGACGAUAAGGAAGAUAAGAAUUAAAAAGUAAAAAUCUCAGGAAGCGAGAAAUUACUAACUUAAAUUAUACCCCGGUGUCACUAUUUUCGAAAGUAAUUACGCUCCUGUUUUCGGCGGAGUAAUACAAGUUUUGGGACCAUGGUAACCGGCGGGGUGAACGGAGGGGAGGAAUCACGGCAGCAUGCUCGCAAGGAAAAUCCUAAUCGCUCUCUCUGGAUCUGACCGCCUUCGAAGGAAGCUAUUUUCAAAGAAGUUCUCAUCCAAAUUUUCCAGUUUUCCUUUUUGUUAUAAUUUGUGUGUGUGCUGACGCUGGAAAUCUCUCGAGUGGAGCGUCGCAUAGCAAAAUCCCUUUUACCGAGCGCGCCGGUCCGUUCCGCAACGACUACCUGCGUCUGAUGGCUACCUGUUUGGGCAGAAACUGCUUAGAUGAUGAUGAUACUUAUACAGAAGGAUGUCUAUAUGAUGCUUCAAUUACAGAUUAACGAUUAAAUUUUUCACCCUAUGUGCUACGUGCCGCGGAGCUCUUUAAAAAAAGCAUCUUAUUAAAAUGUCCGUAAUUCCGCCAUUUUGUAUUUUUUGUUGUUGAAAAU
Molecule: long non-coding RNA, 1249 nt
Organism: Leptopilina heterotoma
Lineage: Eukaryota; Metazoa; Arthropoda; Insecta; Hymenoptera; Figitidae
Exons: 3
Source: RefSeq, a predicted model, not a curated record